AGUGAACGCUGGCGGUAGGCCUAACACAUGCAAGUCGAACGGCAGCACAGUAAGAGCUUGCUCUUACGGGUGGCGAGUGGCGGACGGGUGAGGAAUACAUCGGAAUCUACUUUUUCGUGGGGGAUAACGUAGGGAAACUUACGCUAGUACCGCAUACGACCUACGGGUGAAAGCAGGGGAUCUUCGGACCUUGCGCGAUUGAAUGAGCCGAUGUCGGAUUAGCUAGUUGGCGGGGUAAAGGCCCACCAAGGCGACGAUCCGUAGCUGGUCUGAGAGGAUGAUCAGCCACACUGGAACUGAGACACGGUCCAGACUCCUACGGGAGGCAGCAGUGGGGAAUAUUGGACAAUGGGCGCAAGCCUGAUCCAGCAAUACCGCGUGGGUGAAGAAGGCCUUCGGGUUGUAAAGCCCUUUUGUUGGGAAAGAAAAGCAGCAGGUUAAUACCCCGCUGUUCUGACGGUACCCAAAGAAUAAGCACCGGCUAACUUCGUG
RNAcentral lists this ribosomal RNA (492 nucleotides) under uncultured bacterium. RNAcentral's name for it is "partial 16S ribosomal RNA". It matches the Rfam family "Bacterial small subunit ribosomal RNA", at positions 29 to 507 of the family's 1533-position model. The record is from RNAcentral.